Molecule: ribosomal RNA, 450 nt
Filed under: uncultured bacterium
Lineage: Bacteria
Description: partial 16S ribosomal RNA
Rfam family: Bacterial small subunit ribosomal RNA
Source: RNAcentral
GCCAGACUCCUACGGGAGGCAGCAGUGGGGAAUAUUGGGCAAUGGGCGCAAGCCUGACCCAGCAACGCCGCGUGAAGGAAGAAGGCUUUCGGGUUGUAAACUUCUUUUCUCAGGGACGAAGCAAGUGACGGUACCUGAGGAAUAAGCCACGGCUAACUACGUGCCAGCAGCCGCGGUAAUACGUAGGUGGCAAGCGUUAUCCGGAUUUACUGGGUGUAACGGGCGUGUAGGCGGGGACGCAAGUCAGAUGUGAAAACCACGGGCUCAACCUGUGGCCUGCAUUUGAAACUGUGUUUCUUGAGUACUGGAGAGGCAGACGGAAUUCCUAGUGUAGCGGUGAAAUGCGUAGAUAUUAGGAGGAACACCAGUGGCGAAGGCGGCCUGCUGGGCUUUUACUGACGCUGAGGCUCGAAAGUGUGGGGAGCAAACAGGAUUAGAUACCCGCGUAGA